AACGAACGCUGGCGGCAUGCCUAACACAUGCAAGUCGAACGAGACCUUCGGGUCUAGUGGCGCACGGGUGCGUAACGCGUGGGAACCUGCCCUUAGGUUCGGAAUAACUCCCCGAAAGGGGUGCUAAUACCGGUUAAUGUCUUCGGACCAAAGAUUUAUCGCCUUUGGAUGGGCCCGCGUUGGAUUAGCUAGUUGGUAGGGUAAAAGCCUACCAAGGCGACGAUCCAUAGCUGGUAUGAGAGGAUGAUCAGCCACACUGGGACUGAGACACGGCCCAGACUAGUACGGGAGGAAGGAGUGGGGAAUAUUGGAAAAUGGGCGAAAGCAUGAUACAGCAAUGCCGCGUGAGUGAUGAAGGCCUUAGGGUUGUAAAGCUCUUUUACCCGGGAUGAUAAUGACAGUACCGGGAGAAUAAGCUCCGGCUAACUCCGUG
Molecule: ribosomal RNA, 433 nt
Filed under: uncultured bacterium
Lineage: Bacteria
Description: partial 16S ribosomal RNA
Rfam family: Bacterial small subunit ribosomal RNA
Source: RNAcentral